CAACAAAGCAAUAAGCUGGUAUUCUAUCAAUUAUACAUUUAACACCUUUACAUGGAGUGAAAAUACUUUUCCAUGAUGUCAACCUCUUAUAAAAGGAUGUAAAAGGAUCUUUCUAAAGGGGGCCGUUGGAGAUCGUGACACAAAUAUGGCUUGUGUUUUUCCGAGGCCAGCCAAAGACUCCCUGGAGUUAAUUUACCCCGGCGUAGCAGCCAACCCCUGCUGUGGUGACUCACCUUCGCCACCACAGAGAUGAGGUUCAGAGAGAGACUUGGCAAAAAGAAAAAGUACUCUCCUUGAGAGAUUAACCCGUUGGGCAAAGAAAGGCAUGGGGGAGGCAGACUGAGAGCUCGGCACAGUAGGAACGCAGCUAGCAGGUGAGGACACGUUCAUCUCGGUCACCUCCCAGUGUUGGCAAAGGAACGCGACUGGGAGCCAAACACAUACCACAGUUUGGCCUGGUGGCUGUUAUUAUAUCGAAUUGGUGUUAAAAUGAAAUCAGGUGAGAAUUACUGAGCGGGGGAACACACAUCGGCGUGGUCCUUCACCACACAAAUGAUAUUCAUGUUUGCUUCUUUUCUAGAAGGUUAAAUUGAGAUCUACAGAUGUUAUCGCGAGGACUUCACUGUAUAGGCGGGGUGUUAUGUCUCAUCCGCAGUUUCACCCCCCUUUGCCCCCAAAAGAAAGGAUGUUUGUUUUCUAAAUGCCUGUAACUGAACUCCCUCCCCCCCAUUACCCAUCGCGGGUCGCUCUCACACGGGUCAUUUAUCACACAAAACCCAAUAGUGCCCCAGCGCUAAAUUAGACCACUUGACUAAUGGCAGAGGGGGAAAUGUAACAUUCCGCCUGUUGAUACACAGGAGGGAGAAACGCAUGUAAUGAUCCAGAAAUUUCCAUUUCUGAGACAACAGAACCCCCCCAAAGUUCAAUGUAAAAACUUUAUGCACAGUUUGUGCCACAUAAGCCGUGCCAAAUGUCUUGUCAAAUGGAAGUCGACUUUUCCUGCAAUGAAGGGGAACAGCCAUUUGGAACAAAGACCAGUUAUUGGAGGUGAUAUUGAAGGCGAUCCAUUCUAAUCUGUGGGAUCGCAGGUCUGUGGCAUUUUUCAAAACCUACCGCAUGAGAACCAAUGAAGAGGAAGCACUUAGAUAUAUUGCACAAUCAAUAUCAUAUUUAAAGUGCUCAUACAAAUUUUGUGUCUAGUAUUGUUUUAUAUUAACAGCCAGGAGCCAGUAGAUAAAGUUUUAUCACCCAUGGGUUAUACGAUUAUUUCGACCGGCGAUGAAAACCUGCCAGCGUUUAGCGUAUUCCCAACAGGAAUAACAGAAAUGUAAGUGUGGAGACAGAGCACAUUAUUCUGUAGCGGCUGUUUGCACAAGUGAACUGCAAUAACAACCAGGCUGCCAAAAGAAAGAGCAGCACCACGCUGCGGUUCACGGGACCUUCGCUGCAAUAAGCAUUCAAGGAGAUGUUGAAAUUGGUGUUCAUUAACAGCAGAAGAUCACAAGGGGGGGAAAGAAAAAGGGGGCCGAGCUCCGUCUUGGCAAACACGAGGACAUCUGGAGGGUCCAGCUGACCGACCGCUGAGUCUCACCUUGCACAGGAGGAGGCUUCGGUGGCUCCUCUGACCGCGCAGCACAGCGGACUAAUGAUUAGAACUUCUUUAAAUAACGUUAGAAAUCCCCUCGCUUAUUAUUUCUCCCUCUGUUCUCCCGUCCUAUAAUAACAAAUCUCAGACCUUCAGCGUGUACACAAUUAUUAUUCCUUUUUUCUCCCUCUACCCAUGGAGACGUUUCUCUGGUUGUUUGAUGAGUGAAUCCUCUGUGGUCUUUUUUCCAUUGUACCUCUAAAAUAAAGCGCCAUUUAAAUUAGGUUCUGCUCCGUCUCUCAUGUCUCCCACAUUAUAUUCUCCCGUCCCAAGGAGGGACAGUUUCUCGUUGAGAAUUUACUCUGCUGCUACCUGCUGUUUGUUUUUCCUCUUUCUAAUCGUUCAGCCGAACUCCAGUCUUAACCCUUUGAGCUUUGCUAACUUUUCUUCAUGGCUAAUUAGAUUUUUUUUUCCCAGCCUGGGCUUGGCUGAGUCGUAUUACUUGUUUCAGCAGCAGCACCAGAGACCAAACAUCAACCAGUUCAGAAGUGGUGCCACCAAAACCAUGAAUGAGCAAAGAGCCGUCUUACCGCCAGUGUUUGGCACACAAACAUCUCAGAAGCACGACACUCACUUGCCUCCGGAGCCGCGUGUCGGUGAAGCGGAGGCCUCGCCGGGGUCAUUUGGAACUGAGAUAAUGGCAGUGAUGUCAAAA
Long non-coding RNA from Gasterosteus aculeatus aculeatus (three-spined stickleback), 2300 nucleotides. Lineage: Eukaryota; Metazoa; Chordata; Actinopteri; Perciformes; Gasterosteidae. The record is from Ensembl.